GACGAACGCUGGCGGCGUGCUUAACACAUGCAAGUCGAACGGAAAGGCCCUGCGUUUGUGGGGUGCUCGAGUGGCGAAGGGGGGAGUAACACGUGAGUAACCUGCCCUUGACUUUGGGAUAACUUCAGGAAACUGGGGCUAAUACCGGAUAGGAGAUCCUGCUGCAUGGUGGGGGUUGGAAAGUUUCGGCGGUUGGGGAUGGACUAGCGGCUUAUCAGCUUGUUGGUGGGGUAGUGGCUUACCAAGGCUUUGACGGGUAGCCGGCCUGAGAGGGUGACCGGCCUCGUUGGGACUGAGGUACGGCCCAGACUCCUACGGGAGGCAGCAGUGGGGAAUAUUGCACAAUGGGCGGAAGCCUGAUGCAGCAACGCCGCGUGCGGAAUGCCGGCCUUCGGGUUGUAAACCGCUUUCGCCUGUGACGCAGCGUGAGUGACGGUAAUGGGUAAAGAAGCACCGGCUAACUACGUG
Molecule: ribosomal RNA, 468 nt
Filed under: uncultured bacterium
Lineage: Bacteria
Description: partial 16S ribosomal RNA
Rfam family: Bacterial small subunit ribosomal RNA
Source: RNAcentral